CAGUAGCCGCGGUAAUACGUAGGGUGCAAGCGUUAUCCGGAAUUAUUGGGCGUAAAGAGCUCGCAGGCGGUUUGUCGCGUCUGCUGUGAAAACUGGAGGCUCAACCUCCAGCCUGCAGUGGGUACGGGCAGACUAGAGUGCGGUAGGGGAGAUUGGAAUUCCUGGUGUAGCGGUGGAAUGCGCAGAUAUCAGGAGGAACACCGAUGGCGAAGGCAGAUCUCUGGGCCGUAACUGACGCUGAGGAGCGAAAGCAUGGGGAGCGAACAGGAUUAGAGACCCCGGUAGUCCCUGUCUCUUAUAA
RNAcentral lists this ribosomal RNA (301 nucleotides) under uncultured bacterium. RNAcentral describes it as "partial 16S ribosomal RNA". It matches the Rfam family "Bacterial small subunit ribosomal RNA", at positions 509 to 809 of the family's 1533-position model. The record is from RNAcentral.